RNAcentral lists this small RNA (589 nucleotides) under Pongo abelii (Sumatran orangutan). RNAcentral's name for it is "processed transcript". Lineage: Eukaryota; Metazoa; Chordata; Mammalia; Primates; Hominidae. The record is from RNAcentral.
CCCAGCCCGGAGCGGCUCGCGGCCGGCUCCGUGCCGCAUCGCUCGGGUGCAGCGCAGCUCAGCGCAGCGCGGCGGCCUUUCGGCAGCCGAACGGCCGCGGCAGUUCAGGACAAAGAGGUGUGGGCAGGCCACUGGGCCGGCUGGUAACAUCAUGGCAGAGAAAGUGAACAACUUCCCACCAUUGCCCAAAUUCAUCCCGCUGAAGCCAUGUUUCUACCAAGACUUCGAGGCAGAUAUUCCUCCCCAGCAUCUCAGCAUGACCAAGCGCCUCUACUACCUCUGGAUGUUGAACAGCGUCACGCUGGCCGUGAACCUGGUGGGCUGUCUCGCGUGGCUGAUCGGAGGCGGGGGAGCCACCAACUUUGGCCUCGCCUUUCUCUGGCUCAUCCUCUUCACACCCUGCUCCUACGUCUGCUGGUUUCGGCCCAUUUACAAGGCCUUCAAGGCUUGGGGGCCUUGAAGGCAGGGAAGCCCUGGCCCUCUGCCCAGGUGACGGGAGCCACCUCCUCUGCCGCAGGACUGACAGCUCCUUCAGUUUCAUGGCAUUCUUCUUUACCUUCAUGGCUCAGUUGGUCAUCAGCAUCAUCCA